AGCAGCCGCGGUAAUUCCAGCUCCAAUAGCGUAUAUUAAAGUUGUUGCAGUUAAAAAGCUCGUAGUUGAAUUUCGGGAUCAGUACGCUGGUCGCGCCUCCGGUAUGAACUGGUGUCACUGAUUCCUCCCUUCUGAAGAACCAUCAUGCCAUUCACUUGGUGUGGUGGGGAAUCAGGACUGUUACUUUGAAAAAUUAGAGUGUUUAAAGCAGGCUCACGCUUGAAUACAUUAGCAUGGAAUAAUGAAAUAGGACGUUGAUCCUAUUUUGUUGGUUUCUAGGAUUGACGUAAUGAUUAAUAGGGAUAGUUGGGGGCAUUAGUAUUCAAUUGUCAGAGGUGAAAUUCUUGGAUUUAUUGAAGACUAACUACUGCGAAAGCAUUUGCCAAGGAUGUUUUCAUUAAUCAAGAACGAAAGUUAGGGGAUCGAAGACGAUCAGAUACCGUCGUAGUCUUAACCAUAAACUAUGCCGACUAGGGAUCGGAUGAUGUUAAUUUUUUAAUGUACU
RNAcentral lists this ribosomal RNA (505 nucleotides) under uncultured Glomus. RNAcentral describes it as "SSU rRNA". It matches the Rfam family "Eukaryotic small subunit ribosomal RNA", at positions 569 to 1080 of the family's 1831-position model. The record is from RNAcentral. Lineage: Eukaryota; Fungi; Glomeromycota; Glomeromycetes; Glomerales; Glomeraceae.